This 253-nucleotide ribosomal RNA is filed under the name uncultured bacterium. RNAcentral describes it as "partial 16S ribosomal RNA". It matches the Rfam family "Bacterial small subunit ribosomal RNA", at positions 524 to 776 of the family's 1533-position model. The record is from RNAcentral.
CACGUAGGGCGCGAGCGUUGUCCGGAAUUAUUGGGCGUAAAGAGCUCGUAGGCGGCCUGUGGCGUCCGCUGUGAAAGCCCGGGGCUUAACCCCGGGUCGGCAGUGGAUACGGGCAGGCUAGAGGUAGGUAGGGGAGAAUGGAAUUCCCGGUGUAGCGGUGAAAUGCGCAGAUAUCGGGAAGAACACCCGUGGCGAAGGCGGCUCUCUGGGACGGUACUGACGCUGAGACGCGAAAGCGUGGGGAGCGAACAGG